Molecule: ribosomal RNA, 253 nt
Filed under: uncultured bacterium
Lineage: Bacteria
Description: partial 16S ribosomal RNA
Rfam family: Bacterial small subunit ribosomal RNA
Source: RNAcentral
UACAUAUGGGGCAAGCGUUGUUCGGAAUUACUGGGCAUAAAGGGUGCGUAGGCGGUUUGAUAAGUCUGUGGUGAAAGUCUUCGGCCCAACCGAAGAAUUGCCGUGGAAACUGUUAGACUUGAGUGUGUAAGGGAUAGGGGGAACGAGCAGUGUAGCGGUGAAAUGCGUAGAUAUUGCUCGGAAGGCCAGAGCCGAAGGGGCCCUAUUGGUACACAACUGACGCUGAGGCACGAAAGCGUGGGGAGCAAACAGG